CUACUGGAUUCAGCGGCGGACGGGUGAGUAAUGCUUAGGAAUCUGCCUAUUAGUGGGGGACAACGUUCCGAAAGGAGCGCUAAUACCGCAUACGUCCUACGGGAGAAAGCAGGGGACCUUCGGGCCUUGCGCUAAUAGAUGAGCCUAAGUCGGAUUAGCUAGUUGGUAGGGUAAAGGCCUACCAAGGCGACGAUCUGUAGCGGGUCUGAGAGGAUGAUCCGCCACACUGGGACUGAGACACGGCCCAGACUCCUACGGGAGGCAGCAGUGGGGAAUAUUGGACAAUGGGCGAAAGCCUGAUCCAGCCAUGCCGCGUGUGUGAAGAAGGCCUUUUGGUUGUAAAGCACUUUAAGCGAGGAGGAGGCUACCGAGAUUAAUACUCUUGGAUAGUGGACGUUACUCGCAGAAUAAGCACCGGCUAACUCUGUGCCAGCAGCCGCGGUAAUACAGAGGGUGCGAGCGUUAAUCGGAUUUACUGGGCGUAAAGCGUGCGUAGGCGGCCAAUUAAGUCGGAUGUGAAAUCCCCGAGCUUAACUUAGGAAUUGCAUUCGAUACUGGGAAGCUAGAGUAUGGGAGAGGAUGGUAGAAUUCCAGGUGUAGCGGUGAAAUGCGUAGAGAUCUGGAGGAAUACCGAUGGCGAAGGCAGCCAUCUGGCCUAAUACUGACGCUGAGGUACGAAAGCAUGGGGAGCAAACAGGAUUAGAUACCCUGGUAGUCCAUGCCGUAAACGAUGUCUACUA
RNAcentral lists this ribosomal RNA (740 nucleotides) under Acinetobacter sp. JA14-2. Its description in RNAcentral is "bacterial SSU rRNA". It matches the Rfam family "Bacterial small subunit ribosomal RNA", at positions 83 to 818 of the family's 1533-position model. The record is from RNAcentral. Lineage: Bacteria; Pseudomonadati; Pseudomonadota; Gammaproteobacteria; Moraxellales; Moraxellaceae.